UUGUAGAGCCUGCAGUUGCAGAAGAGAAAGUCAAACCAGUACCUUCAAAGAAAGAUACUGAAGCUACUAAGGAGAAAGUGAAACCAGCCCCAGUUAAGAAAGGUACAGAUUGAUUUUAUUGGACAUAUUUUUGCAAUGUUAAUGAUGCUAACUGCUUACAUCCACUAAUGUACAGAGCCUGAGGUUUCCAAAGAAAAAGCCAAGCCAGAACCUUCAAAGAAAGGUAAAAUGAUUGCACUUGUUUUUAUAUUUCAACAUGCAUACCUUAAAAUGGUUAUUACAUACAGAAAAAUGAUUGGAUCUUGCACAGAGGCUGAAGCUGUUGAUGAGAAGGCUAAACCAGCACCAGUUAAAAAAGGUAAAGUGCUCAUGCUCUGUAUUUGAGAGGGUAAUAGUAAAAGAUCCUGAUAGUUUAAUUAAUUUCACAAGAUUGAUUUUCUGAAAUAUAAUCCUGUAAAUGCAGGAUAAUAAGGUGCAGGUUUGUUUGAUAAGAAAACUUUCUGAAUAUUUUACAUUACUUAAGCAUGUACAUUAGAUCUACAUAAAUAUUUUACCAAGCAGUUUGACUUGAUUUUUAGAACCUGAAAUUAUUAAAGAAAAGGAGAAACCUCCAAAGAAAGGUAAUAAUUUUCAAAUGUGAAAAGAUGCACAAGGUACUAAUCUUGUGUUCAUGUAAUUUGGAAAUAAAUGUUGAUGUUAAACUUUUUAUUCUUUUAGAAGCUGUAAAAGAAAAGCCCAAACCUGCUUAUGUAAAGAAAGAACCUGAAGUUCCAAAAGAAAAAGCAAAACCUGAACCUACCAAAAAAGGUUAA
This 812-nucleotide long non-coding RNA is filed under the name Sinocyclocheilus anshuiensis. Its description in RNAcentral is "lncRNA (ENSSANG00000012246.1)". Lineage: Eukaryota; Metazoa; Chordata; Actinopteri; Cypriniformes; Cyprinidae. The record is from RNAcentral.